GUUGAACGCUGGCGGCAUGCCUUACACAUGCAAGUCGAACGGUAACAGGUCGUCGGUGGCUCACGAGUGGCGGACGGGGGAGGAAUACAACGGAACGGGCCCGAUCGUUGGGGGUAAGGAGUCGCAAGCGGAGCUAGGACCUCAUACGAGCUACGGUAUAGAGCGGGGGAGCUCCGUACUGCGCGCGGGCGUUGCUGCCGAUGGCAGAUUAGGUAGUUGGGGGGAUAAAAGCUUACCAAGCCGACGAUCUGUAGCUGGUCUGAGAGGAUGAUCAGCCACACUGGGACUGAGACACGGCCCAGACUCCUACGGGAGGCAGCAGUGGGGAAUUUUGGACAAUGGGCGAAAGCCUGAUCCAGCCAUGCCGCGUGAAGGAUGAAGGCCUUCGGGUUGUAAACUGCUUUUGUAAGGAAAGAAAAGCCUCUUUCUAAUCAAGAGGCGUCAUGACGGUACCGUAAGAAUAAGCCCCGGCUAACUACGUG
This 482-nucleotide ribosomal RNA is filed under the name uncultured bacterium. RNAcentral's name for it is "partial 16S ribosomal RNA". It matches the Rfam family "Bacterial small subunit ribosomal RNA", at positions 28 to 507 of the family's 1533-position model. The record is from RNAcentral.